GUCCAGUGCCCUGCAAACUGAAAUAUGAAUCCUCAAGGGAUUGAAAGUGUUUAAAAUGCAGAUGCGACUCCAGAAGACCCAAGAGAUUGCAUUUCUAAUAAACUCCCAGGCAGAUGCCAGCAUUGCUGGUACACAGACCACACUGAGCAUGAACACCAGGAGCCAGCAAGUGGGCCACUUCCGCUGCUUGUCAAGAACUGACCGUUGAGCCCUGGAAAAGAAAUGCACUGUUUCUCCAUGGAGGACAACACUUGGGGGAGUUUCGUGAGCCGUCUUAGAUGCCUCCAGACAGCACAACGGAACAUAGAAGAUGGAAGUGAGAGACCCACAUGAAAGCCUCCAGCCAAGCUGCUUGCUUUACAUCCACCACCAAGGACCAAGUUCAGCCGAGGGUGCCCACAGAAGACAGAAGAAAAUGCCCGGUUCCCUGGAGCUGGAGUUACAGGAAGUUGUGACCUGCCUGACAUGGGUUCUGGAUCCUCAAACUUGGUUCCUCUGUGAAAUUCAUCAUCUUGACUGUUGAUCCAUCUCUCCAGGCCCUGGCACCAUGAAUUUGACACUGUCUUUGGACUAGGAUUUAAAAACGAAGUCUCGAAUGUGGGUUGAGCUCUCUUUUCCCUGGAUGGGAGUCUGGACUUUUCAAUACACCUAGAGACAGCUCUGGAGACAUGAAAGGUGUGCCCCAGAGAGUAACAGAACCUAACCUGUAAAUCUUACUAAGAUCUCAACCCAAACUUAGAGUCCUGUGAUUAAAAAUCACACUGCCACCUCCUCUGAACUGCACUCAGCUUUCCUAAAUGAGAUUUUAUGGGAACUGAUUGUGAUUAGAUAAAUGGGUGACUUCACUAAUGUAUAAUCCAAUUUUCAAUUACAUCGCAGGUACAAUAAUUUACAUUUCUUGUUUGAUAGUGUGAUAUUUAUGUGGCGGGCUCUGCAUGAGGCAUAGUGGCUGUUUACAUAAUGACCCUGCUUCUCUCUCUGCAAAGAUCUGGCUUUCAAUUUUCCCUUUUGUGCUGGGAGGUAUUGUCCUUCCAAGGUAAACACUGUAUAUCACAGGAUGUGCAGGUGAGGAAUGUCAAUAAAGUAAUAAUCUAGAUGGGUUUUAAUAAUUCUUAUUUAUGCCACUGGAUUAGCUAAUAGAAUAGUUUGCCUUUCAUAAAAUGUUGGAAUAAAAAUGUCCCUAAAAUUAUAGUAAAUCUGUGAUCUGUUGGCUCUAUGACAGAACACCAUUGAAUACCAAAAAUGAACUUCUAUCAAAUAUAUUUAACCAUUAAUAAUUUAAUAGUCAUUGUCUGGAGGUGGUCCUGAAGAACAGGGUUAGUGGUAAAUAUCUCUUUUCUGACCUUUGACAUCAGGUCUACAUGAAACAAUGGAGACAACACAGAAGUUUUUAUGCAUUUAACCCCAAAUGUCAUUCCUCAUUUCCUGACCAGAGACUUGUCAACCAAAUCCUUCCUUAUAGACAAAACAUCUUAAAACAAGGCAGGAGUAGGGGGAGGUGAGGAGAAAGAAGACAGGUGGAGUGAGUCCAGUUCAGGGGUCAUGGGCACACAGAGCAGUACACAGCAUAGAUGGUCUCCAUCCCAGAUGACCCCAACUACCCACAGGGAGGAGAGCAAGCCUAUGUCUACAGGCUUUCACUACA
Rattus norvegicus (Norway rat) is the source of this 1645-nucleotide non-coding RNA. The record is from RefSeq and is a predicted model, not a curated record. NCBI's taxonomy places the organism in Eukaryota, Metazoa, Chordata, Mammalia, Rodentia, Muridae.